CAGUGUGCUGCAGCCUGCCACACCCUGUGAUGAUUACCCGCUGCUGUGACUGCCCAGGCACUGGGUGUCUGAGCCAAAUGGAGGGGAGGUGCCUCACGUUCGCCCCAGUGAGAGCCCCAUGCAUGCCGGUGGUCUGCGACCCAGCCCUGUGCGCCCCACCUUGCCGCAGGGGGGUCCCCUUCCUCGUGUGCCCGGGGUGCUGCCAUUCCCCCCGUGCGUACUCCUGGUCCUCCCGGAUGCUGCCGCUGGUCUCGCCCUGUUCCCGGGCACAGGCCGCCUGCCCUCCGCGAGCCCUGCCUGCAAAGCCCCAUCGCUAAGGCACCAAAUGACCCGGAUUGUAGACUUGCUUAGGUGGACAC
Molecule: long non-coding RNA, 359 nt
Filed under: Dasypus novemcinctus (nine-banded armadillo)
Lineage: Eukaryota; Metazoa; Chordata; Mammalia; Cingulata; Dasypodidae
Description: lncRNA (ENSDNOG00000049988.1)
Source: RNAcentral